Molecule: ribosomal RNA, 254 nt
Filed under: uncultured bacterium
Lineage: Bacteria
Description: partial 16S ribosomal RNA
Rfam family: Bacterial small subunit ribosomal RNA
Source: RNAcentral
UACGGAGGGUGCGAGCGUUGUCCGGAAUCACUGGGCGUAAAGGGCGCGUAGGCGGUCGUGACAAGUCACUUGUGAAAUCUCCGGGCUUAACUCGGAACGGUCAAGUGAUACUGUCGGACUAGAGUACAGAAGGGGCAACUGGAAUUCUCGGUGUAGCGGUGAAAUGCGUAGAUAUCGAGAGGAACACCUGCGGCGAAAGCGCGCUGCUGGACCUCUUCUGACGCUGAGGCGCGAAAGCUAGGGGAGCGAACGGG